ACAGGACAGCACGGGGAUGAAGCUGUGGAAGCAGCGUUGGUUCGUGCUGUCCGACUUCUGCCUGUUCUACUACAAAGACAACAAGGAGGAGGGUGUCCUGGGCAGCAUCUCCCUGCCCAGCUUCCAGGUGAAUCCGGUGGAAGCCGACGAUAAAAUCAACCGCAAGUUCGCCUUCAAGGCGCGGCACGCUGGCAUGCGCACCUACUACUUCGCCGCCGACUCGCUGGAGGAAA
This is a long non-coding RNA of Petromyzon marinus (sea lamprey), 233 nucleotides long. RefSeq lists it as uncharacterized. Lineage: Eukaryota; Metazoa; Chordata; Hyperoartia; Petromyzontiformes; Petromyzontidae. The record is from RefSeq and is a predicted model, not a curated record.